Molecule: long non-coding RNA, 7159 nt
Filed under: Equus caballus (horse)
Lineage: Eukaryota; Metazoa; Chordata; Mammalia; Perissodactyla; Equidae
Description: lncRNA (ENSECAG00000059756.1)
Source: RNAcentral
CCCGCAGAUCGAAUGGGAGGAACAUUCCUCUUCUUAUAGGGCUGUUCUGAGGACUAGUCUGGAAGCAAAUACAGCACCUGAACAGCAAGCAGCAGUUCUGGAAGUUAAAAGUCCAAGAUCAAGAUGCCAGCAUGGUCAGUUUCUGCCAAUAUUUCAUUCAAAUCUCAAUCACAUCCAAAGACCCUGGAAAUAUUUGUAGGCUCGAAGCAUUGUGCCAGGAGUACCCAAUGGAUAAGACAACUUCAUCCCUCCAGCAGGACAACAGACCACAGGACCAGAUCUUCCAUGAGCGCAGAACUGGGAACUAGCAAAAGAUACUAGCCAGGGGGGACAAGAACAAGGGCGUGUGUAUGUGCGUACAUACAUAUGUGUGCGUUUGCUUCCAGUUAAUUUACCUCCUCUUUUUCUUUCUUUACUUCACUGUUACAUACAGCAUAUGUUUGUAGUGGCUACAUUUACCUUCUAAUCCACAGUGUGCAUCAUAUCCACAUGGUACUAUGACAGAACCAGAGGAAGCACAGGCUUUCCUCGACGUUCUGAACUUGGAGCCAGAUGCAUUUGUCAUGAGUUAUUGGGUGCUGAAUGAUGAGGAGGCUCAUCUUCAUUUGCAUAUGUAAUAGUGCUUCUUUAUUUCAGCAGUUCUGGAAUUGCUUGUACACAAAGCAGGAGGCCUGGUUGUUGGGCGGUCAAGGGUGGACUGCAAUGACUGCCUGUCGUGUUUGCUUGCCUGGCCUGGCCUUCAUUCUUCUGUCUUCUGAUACAGCAGCGCCAGUAUUGGUUGGGAACCUGCCCCCUCCUAUUGAAUAUAGUUUUGAAAAAACUCUAGGUGAAAAUGUUCCCCCUCUCCUGCCAAGGGCUGGGGAUAUGACAAGUUAGAUGGAGCAAACACUCUCUCUCUGAAAUUGGAAUUCUUAGCAGAAUUACACAAACGUUUCAAAUGGUGGAGCUGGGCUAUCCAGGUGGAAAAGCCUGAUGAAAUUGUCAUUUUGUUCCUCUUUCCUAGGUCCUUGUUCUUGUUCACCUUCCACUUUGAUCCUACGAACUACUUCAUAGCCUUCUAAUAAAUCUCAUUUUAGCUUAAAUUGGCCAGAGCCUUUGUUUCUGCUAGUUGAAGGCAUGGCAGCAGAAAGAAUCACCCAGGGAGGGUGUGUAGUGAAAAGAGAAAAGAAGACUGGAGGAAGGCGAGAGAGUGUGUGAGACGGAAGCCAGGGAAGAGAUGCUGACCAGUGGGAGACUCCGGGAGGCAGGGUCGGGCUUGUUGGAAGGUCAAGGACAGAUAAGUACCCAUUGGAUCUACUGAUGGUUUCAUUAUGGACUUUAAUGGGAGCCCUUCCGCCUACUUGGGGGGAAGUUUGAUUGCAGUGGGUUGAAGAGUAAGUAGAAGCGAGGGGUAGAGAGCGAGUACAGGCAACAUCUUAAUCAAGAUAGAAGUUGGGCUGCUUUCACAUGGAUGCCAGUGGCUCAGACAAGGUGGAAGAUUUAUUUCCGUCUCACAGGAAAACCCAGCACACAUUAGGUAGGUGACUCUGUUCCAUGACAUCAUCCUAUGACCCAGCUCCUUCUACAACUUGCUCUGCCAUCCCCAGUGUGUUGUCUACGUCCACCUGGUCAAAGCCAGCUCACACCCUUAUAUCCACAUUACGGUCUUCAGAAAGGGAAAGAGAAAGCCAAGGGCAGCCAGCUUCUUUAAGAGACACUUCCUGGGAGCUGCUCACACUACCCCCAGGGAAACCCAAGGCUGGAACUUGGUGGCAUGGACACAUCUGCUGGUGAGAGAGGCUGGCCACGUAGUCACCAGCCUGUGGCCAGUCAAACCCGGGUGGGGUAUUUCCAAAGGAAAAAGGGGAGUGACAAUGGGGAGCCAAUAGCAGUUGCUGCCACAGACACUGUGUCAAGCAGUUGGGCUGUGAAGGAAAGAGAUAGGGAAGCAGCUGGAGGAGCUGGGGUCCCAGGUCCACAGGUCAGCAGAGAGAGAUGUUGAAGAUACAAGAAUAAGAGACGGUAACAGAGGGAGAGCUUAGAGAAGGAGGGCGCCUGGGUCAGUGCACAGAUGGAGAACUUGGCCUCGGAUAGGACAAAGGAAAGGAGGAAAGAAUAGGAGAAAAUAAUAGGCUUGCGGGCUUAGUGGCUGCCAGUAGAGGGAGUCUGUAUUUUCUUCAUAAAAUAGGAAACCAAGUCUCCUGCUAAGACUGAGUGCGAAGGAGGGCGGCUUGGUGUCUGAAAGAGGAGACAGAAAUCUGCUUUGUUGGGAGGGCUGAUGAGGGGCGCAUGGUGGGAUCCCUGGGUCACUGGAUCCUCAUCUUGGUGGCUGGGAGAUUUCGGUCAGGGCUGCAAAGCAAACCUGGUAUGGUUUUCUAGAAAGAAGAUCGUUGGGAUCUCCAGUCAAAGUCCACGUGAGGAAGGAAAUGAGGAUGCUUUUAUGGGAGGGGUGACACAGUCAUUUCAAUGUGUCUCCAGGAACCCAGAACAGAAAAAACGCUUUGUUUAUGCAAUGAUAGGUCUGCGGAAGAGGAGUGGUGAAAAGCCACACUUCCAUAAAGUCAAACUUCCAUUUUUUAUUAUUCACACCGUUUAAACGAACUCAAGCAUUUUUCCUAAUGACAGACAUCAUUCAUUAAUGCGUGACGAAAAGAGAGAUUCUUUAUUACGUUCAGAAAGACGUGGAGAGAGGCCAGCGAGCACCCGGCCGGGGCGGCGGGGGAGGCCGGCUGGCUGCCCGCUGCGGGGGUGGCCCAGGAAGCGGCCAUCGCCAGCCCGGGUCAUCAGUAAUUGGGAGAGUUUUAUGGUCCGUAAUGAUUUUCUGUAAAUGAAAAUUACUCCUCCUCGCUGGGCAAUUUAGUUAUAUCUGCGUUAAUCCAGGAAAGGCUUAUUCAUAUGAACUAUGACACGUAUGAGUCAGUGCCAGAGACUUAAAGAGGCACCGUCAUGCUUUCAGUUCUAGCACGGUCGCCUCCAGGGCUGUUUUGAGGUUGAUUGUGCUGUUUUGACCACGUCCCCAUGAAGCUAAUGGGGUAACGGGUGGCAGCACGGGGUGGGGCGGGGGCCUUUCCAAAGCUUUUCUGCUCCCGGCUGUAACCGAGUUCAUCGGCUCCGUGUCCAGCGCAGCCAAAGGCUUUCAUUUUCCCUUACGAACAUCUCGUUUACUCAUUCUGUUUCCAUGAGGAACCAAGUUCUGGAGAAGUGAUUAUUACAAUAAUAAUAAUAACAACAACAACAACAACGAUGACCUUUUUCCUGAAAGUGAUGUCCGCAGUUAGGUCUCCUGUAAUUUUCCACAGGGAGACUAGUGAGGGAGAAGAAAAUCUUUCACCUGCUUUUAAAUGUAACUUGGGAUCUACAUGUGUUCCGGAAUUUAAGCCCGUAUUUUGUAGCAUGUGAGUUUUUCCCUGAAAGGCUCAGAACAGCGAAAACAAAAAAAAACAAAAGACUUAUCUUUUGAAACAUAGUAGAAUAUAAGUCGUUCAAGUUUAAGCCAACUGAGAGAAUGAUUCUCCGAUUGUCUCAGGGGCAGCAGAGGCUCCUGGGCGCCCCUAUGCGGGCAGCCCCGGGACACUUACACAAGCCAUUCAGUGCCAGCCCUGCCUCCUCCCUUCUUCUCAGCUGGGCCGUUUGUGAUGACAAAGGCACCUUGCAUUUGUACAGGAACUUAGCACUGUGGGAUAUCUGUGUCAGGGAAAAAAUAACUUUCGCUAUUUUAUUAAGGAUGAAAUGAGCCCCCCAGCCGUUUACUUCUUAGGAAGAAUUAAGCAGAUUGCAUCAAGUCUCUGAGUAGAGAAUGGAAACUGUGUGUCAGUGGAGUGUGGAGUAAGCUGUUUGCCGGACAUUAUUUAUUUCACCGCCUGCAUUAACAGUGCAAAUGAGUCAUAAAAACCAUAGAGAUAUGUGUAGAUUUUUAAACAUUAACCUAGAAUUUGAAAGUUAGAAUAACCAUCUACUCAGGAUAAACUUGUAGAGUCAGAGGUUGUAUUUUCAAUGUAUAUAAAUGUCACUGAGUCCUCUGUUAGGUGGGUCCCUACAUGUUGUUAAAAGGAUAGACUAGUUUAGAAGGAAAUAAGCAUGCCGAGAGAAGCGAUGAUAACUUCGCUCCCAUGUUUCAAGACAAGUUCACUGUCCAGACAGAUUUCAAUCCUUCCAUUGUAUCCUUCCUUUAUUUUGUGUAGUCGCGUCUUUGCUGGCGGCCUGAAUUUCUUACCCUGGACACACACACACAGAAGGGAGGGCUACAAGAACAAAGAAAACUUAGUUCAAUGUGACACACUCCCUGAUCACAACGACAUUCUAAGUCCCCUAUACCCAUUAUGAUGAUAAUUUCUUUCAAAACAGGGAUUCGCAAUUUUCACUAGAUCCACGAUUUUCGAGAUUUGCGUCAAAAUGUGUUUUUAAAAGUAUCUACUUGCAUCCGACACUUCUGGCCUCCGCAUCAAAUCCUCUCCACCUCCCCUAUUACCCCAGUCACCUGAGAGCAAACUCCUAACGGCUUUGCCCUGGGCAGGGAUGGGUGGGGCACACCUGCUUCAAGCCUUGUGGGGUGUCUCUGUAGCAGGUGAUGCAGGGGGACGAAUCAGUCAGCCUUGACUCCUGCCCUGCCCGGAGGCGUGGGGAGAUAGAGCCGGGGUCUACCCUUGACCAAUGGUACACAGUAGCUGGUGGAUACAUUCUUCCUCUGUCUUUCCUGAGGAGGAUAGUUCUGAAACUGGCUUCAUAAGGCUCCUCAGAGUUGCCUCCAAAUGGAACCACUUGGCCAACUCCACAAUGCAUCCUUGAAUUGGCUUUCCUUUCCUUUGUGUCUGCCACUCCAACCCUCCCCUCUGCUCCUGGGUUUACACUCCCAGCUAAACCACCUUCGCGCUAGCCUUUCCCAGGUUCUGCUUUUAGGGAACCCAGAUCAAGAAUAACUUGAGUUUAUUUCAAGAAAAAUCCCUCACUCAAUUAUUACUUCUAACAUUUUAAUUUCCUACCCAUAGGAAUUAAAUUUUAAUACUCCCUUACAGUUUUCUUGAUGAAGCUUCACUGUCUCAUAAUGACCCCUGCUGGAAUUGUGCUGGUAAUGGUUAAUAGCAUGUCUACCUAUGAACCAUCCCGGCAGGGUAGGGCAGUGGAAGGGAAAUGGACUUUGAGUUUCCAGUCCAAUCCCACUUCUUACGAAAUGUGUGAACUUGAGCGAGUUACUUAACAUCUCUGAGCCUCAUUUGUAAAAUGACCUUAAUACAAUAAGACUAGAAAUGAAUGACAAAUAAAAAAUGAAAAGACCUUUUACCUGGAAAUUUAAAAGCUUCUAAUAACUCAAAUCAAUGAAAUUGCAGAAUGUCCUGAAAAUAGCAAUGAUGAAAACACAAUACGUCAAAAUAUCUGCGAUAGAAAGCUAAAAUUCAGAGGAAAAUUAUAGCAUUUAAUAUCUUUCUCAGUAAAAAUGGAAAGAUGAAAAUGAAUGAGUUAAACAGCCAACACAAAAUAGAAGACAGAGACAUGCAAGAGAAGACAAAAGUCUAUCUUUUGAAAAUUCAAAGGAAACUGACAACCGUCUAGAAAGAUUGCCAAUGCAAAAAGAGAUAAAGAAAAAAUAAACACUAAGAAUGAGAAAAAACCAAAACUGCAAAAUCAGCAGAAAUGUAAAAUAUAGUAAGAAUAUUAUAAAAACUUCGUGCCAAUGAAGAUGAGAACUGAGAUUAAAUGGGCAAAUUUCUAGAAAAAAUAUAAUGUUUCAAAACUGACUAGAGAAGAAAUAGAAAACUCAAUCCUCCCUAAAUUAAUUUAUAGCACAAUCUCAAUGAAAAUAUCAUGUUUGUUUCUAGAACUGGACAUGUUGAUUAUUAAGGUCAUUUAGAAGGAUAAACAAGCAAAGAAUAGCCAGGAAAAUACCCCUCCAAAAAGAAGUGUGGUGUUGGGGGCUGGCUAGCACGUCCAGGUACUAAAGCACAUUAUAAAGCCUCUAUAGUUAACACAGUGUGGUAUCAGUAUGUGCAUAUGCAGACGGACAAAUCAAACAGAAUAGAAAAGCCAGAAAUAGACCCAACCGAACAUGGAAAUUUAGAAUAGUUUAAGGUGACAUCUCAAAUCAGUGGAAAAAUUGAAUAUGUGAUAUUAAGAUACCUGAAAAGCAAAUGAAAAACUAUAUAAUUGAGCCCAUUCUUAUGCCAUACACUAGCAUAAUACUCCAAAUGGAUCACAGAUGUAGGUGUAAAAUGAAGAAAACAUGGGGAAAUUCUUUUAUGAUCCAGGAGUUAUAACUAAGAAACUUUCCUGACUAUGACUCAAACCCCAGAAGCAAUAAGGAAAGGACUGGCUAAUGUGUUUACAUAAAAAUAUAAAAUUUGCAUAGGCACAAGCACCAUUAACUAAGUAAAAACACAAACAACAAAAGAGGGAAGCCAUUUACAAUUUUUAUUGCAGACAAAAAGAUUAAUAUGUUAGGGUGAGCCAUCUGAAAUUGCUGGUAUUUGACCAUUUUUGACCUAACAAAAUAGCAAUUUCAUAUGGUUCAACUUAAUAAUUAAUAUAUAAAGAACUUCUAAAAAUAAGAUGGGCAAUAUCCCAAUAAAAAAAUGAGCUAGAGAUAUGAACACACAAUUCACAAAAUAAAAAUGCAGAUGGCUUUUAGCCACAUAAGAAGAUGUCCAGGCACGCUCAUAAGAAUCUAUCCCAAAGAUACAUCACAAAAAUGCCCAGGGGCCGGCCCCAUAGCUGAGUGGUUAAGUUCGCACGCUCCGCUUCAGUGGCCCAGGGUUUCGCCGGUUCAAAUCCUGAGCACGGACACGGCACCGCUCAUCAGGCCAUGCUGAGGCAGCGUCCCACAUGCCACGACUAAAAAAAUACACAACUAUGUACCAGGGGGCUGUGGGGAGAAAAAGGAAAAAUAAAAUCUUUAAAAAAAAAUUCCCAAAAGAUUCAUGCAAAGGCAAUUUGCUGUAGCACUGUGGGUAACAGCAACACUGGAAAGAACCUAAAUGUCUUGAUACUUGGUAGAGUACGUCCUCCAGCUGUUUUUUUCUGGGAUUGUUUCAGAUAUUCUUAGAUCUUUGCAUUUCUAUGUAAAUUUUUGAAUCUGUUUAUGAAUUCACACACACACACACACACACACAAUCCUGCUAAGAGUUGUGUUGGGACUACGUUAAAUCUGCAGAUCAACGUGGGCAGAACUGACAUCUUUACAAAACUGAAU